CCUACGGGAGGCAGCAGUGAGGAAUAUUGGUCAAUGGCCGUAAGGCUGAACCAGCCAAGUCGCGUGAAGGAAGAAGGAUCUAUGGUUUGUAAACUUCUUUUAUAGGGGAAUAAAGGUAUCCACGUGUGGAUAUUUGCAUGUACCCUAUGAAUAAGCAUCGGCUAACUCCGUGCCAGCAGCCGCGGUAAUACGGAGGAUGCGAGCGUUAUCCGGAUUUAUUGGGUUUAAAGGGUGCGUAGGUUGUUUUUUAAGUCAGCGGUGAAAGUUUGUGGCUCAACCAGAGAAUUGCCGUUGAAACUGGAAGACUUGAGUGUGUUUGAGGUAGGCGGAAUGCGUGGUGUAGCGGUGAAAUGCAUAGAUAUCACGCAGAACUCCGAUUGCGAAGGCAGCUUACUAAGCCAUAACUGACACUGAAGCACGAAAGCGUGGGGAGCAAACAGGAUUAGAUACCCGUGUAGUC
This 460-nucleotide ribosomal RNA is filed under the name uncultured bacterium. RNAcentral describes it as "partial 16S ribosomal RNA". It matches the Rfam family "Bacterial small subunit ribosomal RNA", at positions 338 to 795 of the family's 1533-position model. The record is from RNAcentral.